GUGUCAGCAGCCGCGGUAAUACGUAGGGGGCAAGCGUUGUCCGGAUUUAUUGGGCGUAAAGAGCUCGUAGGCGGUUCGACAAGUCGAAUGUGAAAUCUCCACGCUCAACGUGGAGGGGUCAUUCGAAACUGUCGUGACUUGAGUACGGUAGGGGAGUGUGGAAUUCCCGGUGUAGCGGUGAAAUGCGCAGAGAUCGGGAGGAACACCCGUAGCGAAGGCGGCACUCUGGGCCGAUACUGACGCUGAGGAGCGAAAGCGUGGGGAGCAAACAGGAUUAGAAACCCCCGUAGUCC
RNAcentral lists this ribosomal RNA (293 nucleotides) under uncultured bacterium. RNAcentral's name for it is "partial 16S ribosomal RNA". It matches the Rfam family "Bacterial small subunit ribosomal RNA", at positions 505 to 796 of the family's 1533-position model. The record is from RNAcentral.